This 232-nucleotide unclassified non-coding RNA is filed under the name Hevea brasiliensis (rubber tree). Lineage: Eukaryota; Viridiplantae; Streptophyta; Magnoliopsida; Malpighiales; Euphorbiaceae. The record is from RNAcentral.
CAACUUCGGCAGGGAAAUUAGUACCUUCUGGGCUAACUUUCUUGAUCUUCAUUAAGUUGCUUUCUUUACCCCUAUGAUUUUGACCCUUUAUUUGGUCCAUAUGAUUCACCUUAUGUCCGUUUCCACCACCAAAUUUAUCUGCAGUGUCAUCCCUUUCCGAGUCCUCAUUCUCUCUGAGCUGAACUAGAUCCUCAAUACCUGUUCCCCCACCAAGUUUAGUUGCAGUGUCAUC